GGGCCGGUAGCUUAGCUGGUAGAGCGUCGCGUUUGCAUCGCGAAGGUCGAGAGUUCGAAUCUCUUCCGGUCCACCG
RNAcentral lists this transfer RNA (76 nucleotides) under Candidatus Levybacteria bacterium RIFCSPLOWO2_01_FULL_42_15. RNAcentral describes it as "tRNA-Ala". It matches the Rfam family "tRNA". From Rfam's summary of the family: Transfer RNA (tRNA) molecules are approximately 80 nucleotides in length. Their secondary structure includes four short double-helical elements and three loops (D, anti-codon, and T loops). Lineage: Bacteria; Candidatus Levyibacteriota. The record is from RNAcentral.